AGCAGCCGCGGUAAUUCCAGCUCCAAUAGCGUAUAUUAAAGUUGUUGCAGUUAAAAAGCUCGUAGUUGAAUUUCGGGAUCAAUUUAUUGGUCGUGCUAUUGUACGUACUGGUAUUAUUGAUUCCUACCUUCUGACGAACCAUGAUGUCAUUAAUUUGGUGUCAUGGGGAAUCAGGACUGUUACUUUGAAAAAAUUAGAGUGUUUAAAGCAGGCUCACGCUUGAAUACAUUAGCAUGGAAUAACGAAAUAGGACGUUUGAUUCUAUUUGUUGGUUUCUAGGAUCGACGUAAUGAUUAAUAGGGAUAGUUGGGGGCAUUAGUAUUCAAUUGUCAGAGGUGAAAUUCUUGGAUUUAUUGAAGACUAACUACUGCGAAAGCAUUUGCCAAGGAUGUUUUCAUUAAUCAAGAACGAAAGUUAGGGGAUCGAAGACGAUCAGAUACCGUCGUAGUCUUAACCAUAAACUAUGCCGACUAGGGAUCGGAUGAUGUUAAUUUUUAAUGA
This 501-nucleotide ribosomal RNA is filed under the name uncultured Glomus. RNAcentral's name for it is "SSU rRNA". It matches the Rfam family "Eukaryotic small subunit ribosomal RNA", at positions 569 to 1074 of the family's 1831-position model. Lineage: Eukaryota; Fungi; Glomeromycota; Glomeromycetes; Glomerales; Glomeraceae. The record is from RNAcentral.